CGUAACGACACGGAAGAGUCCGGGCUCAGAGCCCGGCGCCGAAGGAGCAACCGCCCCGGAAACUCUCAGGCACCCAGGACCGUGACGUUGCG
RNAcentral lists this non-coding RNA (92 nucleotides) under Hyphomicrobium denitrificans. Its description in RNAcentral is "Glycine sequence". It matches the Rfam family "Glycine riboswitch aptamer". From Rfam's summary of the family: This family represents the bacterial glycine riboswitch. Glycine riboswitches usually consist of two metabolite-binding aptamers domains with similar structures in tandem. Lineage: Bacteria; Pseudomonadati; Pseudomonadota; Alphaproteobacteria; Hyphomicrobiales; Hyphomicrobiaceae. The record is from RNAcentral.